This 305-nucleotide unclassified non-coding RNA is filed under the name uncultured Lachancea. Its description in RNAcentral is "sequence contains ITS2". The stretch from base 1 to 52 matches the Rfam family "5.8S ribosomal RNA", at positions 103 to 154 of the family's 154-position model. The record is from RNAcentral. Lineage: Eukaryota; Fungi; Ascomycota; Saccharomycetes; Saccharomycetales; Saccharomycetaceae.
AACGCACAUUGCGCCCUUUGGUAUUCCAAAGGGCAUGCCUGUUUGAGCGUCAUUUCCUUCUCAAACCUUUGGGUUUGGUCGUGAGUGAUACUCUUUCCAGGGUUAACUUGAAAAUGCUGGCCAUCUGGCUGCUGCUGGCUGAGGCUCUAGUCCAGUCUGCUGAUACUCGACGUAUUAGGUUUUACCAACUCGUUGUGGCAUCGGUCGGGCGUUAUUACGACUCUAGCACGAAAGUACAGACAGCCUGGCGAACAGUAUUCAUAAAGUUUGACCUCAAAUCAGGUAGGAUUACCCGCUGAACUUAA